This 594-nucleotide ribosomal RNA is filed under the name Macrelmis striata. RNAcentral's name for it is "SSU rRNA". It matches the Rfam family "Eukaryotic small subunit ribosomal RNA", at positions 19 to 585 of the family's 1831-position model. The record is from RNAcentral. Lineage: Eukaryota; Metazoa; Arthropoda; Insecta; Coleoptera; Elmidae.
AGUAGUCAUAUGCUUGUCUCAAAGAUUAAGCCAUGCAUGUCUCAGUACAAGCCAAAUUAAGGUGAAACCGCGAAAGGCUCAUUAAAUCAGUUAUGGUUCCUUAGAUCGUACCCACAUUUACUUGGAUAACUGUGGUAAUUCUAGAGCUAAUACAUGCAAACAGAGCUCCGACCGGAGACGGAAGGAGCGCUUUUAUUAGAUCAAAACCAAUCGGCGGCGGGUUCGCCCGUUCGUCGUACAACUUGGUGAAUCUGAAUAACUUUCUGCUGAUCGCAUGGUCUCGCACCGGCGACGCAUCUUUCAAAUGUCUGCCUUAUCAACUGUCGAUGGUAGGUUCUGCGCCUACCAUGGUUGUAACGGGUAACGGGGAAUCAGGGUUCGAUUCCGGAGAGGGAGCCUGAGAAACGGCUACCACAUCCAAGGAAGGCAGCAGGCGCGCAAAUUACCCACUCCCGGCACGGGGAGGUAGUGACGAAAAAUAACGAUACGGGACUCAUCCGAGGCCCCGUAAUCGGAAUGAGUACACUCUAAACCCUUUAACGAAGAUCAAUUGGAGGGCAAGUCUGGUGCCAAGAGCCUGUCACAACCGGGUGC